AGAGUUUGAUCCUGGCUCAGAUUGAACGCUGGCGGCAGGCCUAACACAUGCAAGUCGAGCGGCAGCGGAAAGUAGCUUGCUACUUUGCCGGCGAGCGGCGGACGGGUGAGUAAUGUCUGGGAAACUGCCUGAUGGAGGGGGAUAACUACUGGAAACGGUAGCUAAUACCGCAUAACGUCGCAAGACCAAAGAGGGGGACCUUCGGGCCUCUUGCCAUCAGAUGUGCCCAGAUGGGAUUAGCUAGUAGGUGGGGUAACGGCUCACCUAGGCGACGAUCCCUAGCUGGUCUGAGAGGAUGACCAGCCACACUGGAACUGAGACACGGUCCAGACUCCUACGGGAGGCAGCAGUGGGGAAUAUUGCACAAUGGGCGCAAGCCUGAUGCAGCCAUGCCGCGUGUAUGAAGAAGGCCUUCGGGUUGUAAAGUACUUUCAGCGGGGAGGAAGGUGUGAGGUUAAUAACCUCAGCAAUGACGUAC
This 478-nucleotide ribosomal RNA is filed under the name Enterobacteriaceae bacterium EF79. Its description in RNAcentral is "bacterial SSU rRNA". It matches the Rfam family "Bacterial small subunit ribosomal RNA", at positions 8 to 478 of the family's 1533-position model. Lineage: Bacteria; Pseudomonadati; Pseudomonadota; Gammaproteobacteria; Enterobacterales; Enterobacteriaceae. The record is from RNAcentral.